Molecule: ribosomal RNA, 333 nt
Filed under: uncultured bacterium
Lineage: Bacteria
Description: bacterial SSU rRNA
Rfam family: Bacterial small subunit ribosomal RNA
Source: RNAcentral
CGUGUAGGCGGUUGGUCAAGUCUGGUGUGAAAGCCCGGGGCUUAGCCCCGGAAGUGCGCUGGAAACUAGCCAACUUGAGCGCGAUAGAGGAGGGUGGAAUUCCUGGUGUAGCGGUGAAAUGCGUAGAUAUCAGGAGGAACACCGGCGGCGAAGGCGGCCCUCUGGAUCGUUGCUGACGCUGAGACGCGAAAGCGUGGGGAGCAAACAGGAUUAGAUACCCUGGUAGUCCACGCUGUAAACUAUGGGUACUAGGUGUUCGGGGUGUUGACCCCCUGAGUGCCGACGCUAACGCAUUAAGUACCCCGCCUGGGGACUACGGCCGCAAGGCUAAAA